ACAUUUUUGUAAAUAUUUGAUUAUAUCUUUUCAUGUGACAACACUGAAGAAAUGACACUUUGCUACAAUGUAAAGUAGUGAGUGUACAGCUUGUGUAACAGUGUAAAUUUGCUGUCCCCUCAAAAUAACUCAACACACAGCCAUUAAUGUCUAAACCGCUGGCAACAAAAGUGAGUACACCCCUAAGUGAAAAUGUCCAAAAUGGGCCCAAAGUGUCAAUAUUUUGUGUGGCCAGCAUUAUUUUACAGCGCUGCCUUAACCCUCUUGGGCAUGGAGUUCACCAGAGCUUCACAGGUUGCCACUGGAGUCCUCUUCCACUCCUCCAUGACGACAUCACGGAGCUGGUGGAUGUUAGAGACCUUGUGCUCCUCCACCUUCCAUUUGAGGACGCCCCACAGAUGCUCAGUAGGGUUUAGGUCUGGAGACAUGCUUGGCCAGUCCAUCACCUUCACCCUCAGCUUCUUUAGCAAGGCAGUGGUCAUCUUGGAGGUGUGUUUGGGGUCGUUAUUAUGCUGGAAUACAUGCUGGGAUCAUGCUCUGCUUCGGUAUGUCACAGUACAUGUUGGCAUUCAUGGUUCCCUCAAUGAACUGUAGCUCCCCAGUGCCAGCAGCACUCAUGCAGCCCCAGACCAUGAUACUCCCACCUCCAUGCUUGACUGUAGGCAAGACACACUUGUCUUUGUACUCCUCACCUGGUUGCCACCACACACGCUUGACUCCAUCUCAACCAAAUAAGUUUAUCUUGGUCUCAUCAGACCACAGGACAUGGUUCCAGUAAUCCAUGUCCUUAGUCUGCUUGUCUUCAGCAAACUGUUUGCAGGCUUUCUUGUGCAUCAUGUUUAGAGGAGGCUUCCUUCUGGGACGACAGCCAUUAAGACCAAUUUGAUGUGGUGUGCGGCGUAUGGUCUGAGCACUGACAGGCUGACCCCCCACCCCUUCAACCUCUGCAGCAAUGCUGGCAGCACUCAUACAUCUGUUUCCCAAAGACAACCUCUGGAUAUGACGCUGAGCAUGUGCACUCAACUUCUUUGGUCGACCAUGGCGAGGCCUGUUCUGAGUGGAACCUGUCCUGUUAAACCACUGUAUGGUCUUGGGCACCGUGCUGCAGUUCAGUGUCAGGGUCUUGGCAAUCUUCUUAUAGCCUAGGCCAUCUUUAUGUAGAGCAACAAUUCUUUUUUUCAGAUCCUCAGAGAGUUCUUUGCCAUGAGGUGCCAUGUUGAACUUCCAGUGACCACUAUGAGGGAGUGUGAGAGCGAUGACACCAAAUUUAACACACCUGCUCCCCAUUCACACCUGAGACCUUGUAACACUAACAAGUCACAUGACACCGGGGAGGGAAAAUGGCUAAUUGGGCCCAAUUUGAACAUUUUCACUUAGGGGUGUACUCACUUUUGUUGCCAGCAGUUUAGACAUUAAUGGCUGUGUGUUGAGUUAUUUUGAGGGGACAGCAAAUUUACAUUGUUACACAAGCUGUACACUCACUACUUUACAUUGUAGCAAAGUGUCAUUUCUUCAGUGUUGUCACAUGAAAAGAUAUAAUCAAAUAUUUACAAAAAUGUGAGGGGUGUACUCACUUUUGUGAGAUACUGUAAAAGGAUUCCAAAGCACCAAUGUUUAAGUUGUGUUUGAUGCCAAUUACAAGAUUCUGGAUCUUGUGCCAAAAUGGCCAGGGUCAACACAUGAUACUCUAGCCUCACUGGGUUAUUUGAACAAAAUUAUGUUCAGUUUGCCCUGGAUGUCAUCUGCUGGGUGACUCAGGAUAUCCUUUAAACACUGGCUUCUCACCCCUUACAGAAGUCCACAAGGAGAACAGCAACUCAAUUAUAACAGGUACUGGACUGGACUGAACUGUAGACAAAAUACCAAUAAAAUACCUUCUUCCAUUGCUCCAUGGUCCAGUUCUGAUGCUCACAUGCCCAUUGUAGGCACUUUCGGUGGUGAAGGGGGUCAGCAUGGGCAGUCUGACUGGUUUGUAGCUACGCAGCCCCAUACACAGCAAGCUGUGAUGCACUGUGUUCUGACACCUUUCUAUCAUAGACAGCAUGAACCUUUUCAGCAAUUUGUGCUACAGAAGCUCUUUUGUGGGAUUGGAACAGACAGGAUAGCCUUUGCUCCCCACACACAUCAGUGAGCCUCAGGCACCCUGAGCCUGUUACUGGUUCAUUUGUUGUCCUUCCUCGGACCACUUUUGGUAGGUACUAACCAGUGCAUACCAGGAACACCCCACAAGACCUGCCGUUUUGGAGAUGCUUUGAACCAGUCAUCUAGCCAUCAUAAUUUGGUCCCUGUCGAAGUCACUCAGAUCCUUACGCUUGCCCAUUUUUCCUGCUUCCAGUACAUCAACUUUGACAACUGACCGUUCACUUGCUGCCAAAUAUAUCCCACCCCUCGACAGGUGCCACUGUAUCAAGAUAAUCAAUGUUAUUCACUUCACCGGUCAGUGGUUUUAAUGUUUAACUCCUAGUAAGUUUGUAUUUACAAGUUGGGAAGUCGUAAUUACGACAUCAGGUACGUUCCAAGUCACUUUGGUCAAAGCAAGAUGGCAGUGUACCUUCUCUUAAUUAACUACACAAAAAAAUAAAGCUAAGGUUUUUUAACUCUACUUCUAGAAAAUGGAGAACAAAGAAUGCGCAUCAAGUAUGUUUUGCUUUUUUUAUGUUUUUAAUCAAUUUAUGAAGCCACUGUAAACAUUUUCGGUUACAUAAAGUAUUAUAUCGUAAUUGUACAAUGCUAUUGCAUUUUGUGCAAGCAAUUAGCUUGUUUUAUUGUAAAUAAAAAAAAGCCUGAAAAUAACUUGCUGCAUAUACACAUAAUAAGUGACAUUAGUAAACAUUUGAUUCAAAAAAUUUACCAUCAACCACAGACAUUUCAUCAGUUGAUUCCACCAUGUUUUCUUACUGACACCCCCCAACUCGGAAACUCAGAGCUCAAAGAAAAUCCAGUUUCCCACUCAUAGUUAUGACUUUAUGGUGAUGUUCAACUCAUACAUUCGAUCUUUCCGAUAUGACUUGAAUGCACCAUUAUGGCUUAUUGGUGUAUAUGGGUGUGAUCCCUGGAAACACAUUUGUUCCUUUAACUAAUGAUAUGGGGUGGCAAAUGUCCCAGUAACACAUACAGUUACAUUUGGCUGUAAAUAAUAAUGACUAGCUUUUGAUGUCAUCCCUUUAUUAUAAAAAUUACAUGUAGAUUGUUGGCAUAUGUGACAAAACCGCUUGUUACUGAUCUUAAUGUCUGACUUUCACUCUUGAAAGUGAUUCAAGAAUGCAAGGUUGCUUAAAAAGCUGUGUCCAAGUGGUCCAUGAUGGAGGGGGGAACCAGGCACACAGCAGAGCCGCCAGGUAAUUUUCAGGAAUUCUGAUGUGUUUUGGGAUGGCUGAAUAUUUGGGAAUGGCCCGUUUCAAGCCCAUUUGGGACCCAUGUGGGGCCUACGUAGACAUGCUGUCCAGGUCCCCAAUGGCAUGUUGGAAAAGCAGGAAGUGCCAUAGGAUGCCCAACGAUGGCACAUUGCAGCUUGAGACAUAUCAGAUCAGUCACUUAGUGCUGGCUCUAAUAAAGUUUUGCACAGCAGUAAAAGAAGACGCUGUGGCAAACUGAACCAACUUAGACACCACCUGAGCCUAUCCUCCUUUUAUACAGGGACAUUCUUAAUUGAAUGACUGGUCUUGCUUGUCUCAAUUUAUGGGAUUUAAGUUUAUAUUUAUUGGACAAAUAUUCAAGUUUGUGUGUGUAAUAAGAACACACAGAGCCAACCCUGUCUGUCAGAUUUUAUUCACAAUGAUGUUAAACACUGUCUCUGUUAAAACUUUCCACCACCAUCGUGAUUGUCAUGGGCUGCUUCUCAAAUCGAAAGCUCUGACCUUACAUUCAACUGUUUAAUAAAUCUAGAAAAUCCAGACGACUGG
Molecule: long non-coding RNA, 3902 nt
Organism: Ictalurus punctatus (channel catfish)
Lineage: Eukaryota; Metazoa; Chordata; Actinopteri; Siluriformes; Ictaluridae
Exons: 2
Source: RefSeq, a predicted model, not a curated record